UCUCCCCUCUGGCAGAUCAACACUCCCUCCCAACUUGGUGUCAUCUACAAACUUACUGAGGGUGCACUCAAUCCUCUCAAGAUCAUCAAUGAAGAUGUUCAACAGAAGUGGCCCCAGUACUGAGCCUUGGGGGAAAGAGCACUUUCUGGCACUAAGUCCAAGAUGAAGCCAG
Molecule: non-coding RNA, 172 nt
Organism: Meleagris gallopavo (turkey)
Lineage: Eukaryota; Metazoa; Chordata; Aves; Galliformes; Phasianidae
Source: RefSeq, a predicted model, not a curated record